AUUGAACGCUGGCGGCAUGCCUUACACAUGCAAGUCGAACGGUAACAGGUCUUCGGAUGCUGACGAGUGGCGAACGGGUGAGUAAUACAUCGGAACGUGCCUAGUAGUGGGGGAUAACUACUCGAAAGAGUGGCUAAUACCGCAUGAGAUCUACGGAUGAAAGCAGGGGAUCGCAAGACCUUGUGCUACUAGAGCGGCCGAUGGCAGAUUAGGUAGUUGGUGGGAUAAAAGCUUACCAAGCCGACGAUCUGUAGCUGGUCUGAGAGGACGAUCAGCCACACUGGGACUGGGAAACGGCCCAGACUCCUACGGGAGGCAGCAGUGGGGAAUUUUGGACAAUGGGCGCAAGCCUGAUCCAGCAAUGCCGCGUGCAGGAUGAAGGCCUUCGGGUUGUAAACUGCUUUUGUACGGAACGAAAAGCCCUGGGUUAAUACCCUGGGGUCAUGACGGUACCGUAAGAAUAAGCACCGGCUAACUACGUGCCAGCCGCCGCCGUAA
This 498-nucleotide ribosomal RNA is filed under the name uncultured bacterium. RNAcentral's name for it is "partial 16S ribosomal RNA". It matches the Rfam family "Bacterial small subunit ribosomal RNA", at positions 30 to 523 of the family's 1533-position model. The record is from RNAcentral.